AUGACCAAUCCUUUAAGAAAUGAUUCCAUCAACCUAUCAUGAAACUAACACUUUUAACUGAAGCAUGCAUGAACUCAAAUCAUUAUGUAACUUGUUCGAAAAUAAUUACAUCUAUUUUUACGUAUGAAAUUCAAUCAAGAGUAAUAAUGAUAGUCCAUAUAGUCCAUGAGUGUGUCUACUAUUCAUAUAACAUAAAGCAAAUAACUAAUAUCAACUACCUCUACUUAACUACAAUCUAUCAAAUUGAAAACAACAUACAACCUACAACUGAACGUAGAUCUAUGAACAUUUUCAUUUCAAUUUCAGUGAGCUACAUAAAGGCAAUUCGAAGAAGUGUACCUGGACAGAAUAAAAAUAAAGAAUAGGUGAGUUAGAUAAGCAGUGAAUAUCAGAAUUUCAAAACCUUGGCGACCAGAUCAAUUUGACUUCAAAAGGAUCACAAUAGUCCCAUGACUGAUUAACAAUAGAUUACACACCAAACAGCAAGCCAAACCACGUACAAUUGGAUCAAAUUCUACCCGAAAUCAACCACAGUGCUGUGGACUCAAACUAAACCAGAUUUAAGAGAUGCUAAAGUCAUUUCCAACCUUCUGUUGAUUAUGAUUUGAUCUAGAGAUAAAUUUCAAACUUCAAUUCUAAGGAUUUCCCAAUGAAACAGUGCUAUUUUGGAUUUUCGAUGGUUUUUUUCUUUUCUUGAAGAAGUUAAAAUCUAAAAGAAUGUUUGAACUGAAAUUUAAUUGCAGAUCUAGAGGUUUGAGGAGUAUUUUAGAGGGGAUUUUUGUGAGCUCAAACUUGUAAAUGAAGGUACUGUGGCUGCCUUUUAUAGGCAACAAGAGAAGCAAUUUCAGAUUUCCCAUUUUACACAAUAGUCCCUUACUUACUUUCAGUUGAGUCCCUUAGUUAUUAACUUGUUACUCAAGUAAACCUACUAACUUCCUAAUAUUAGAACUAAAUAUAUAUUCUAGAAUAUUAUAGCAUAUUCUUGGGUGUUCCUUUUCAAUUACUACAACAUUCUGUUCAAUCCUAAGUACACAAAUACCCUUGAAGUUAAACAGAAUUUGCAGCUAUAACCAAACGACUUUCCAAAUCUGAAUUAAACUCAACUGAACAAAUUUAAUCCGAAUUCACCACCUAUAUAAUUAUUUAUUAAAAUCAGUAUUGAAGAUUGGAAUUAAAAAAAAAUCAAUUAUUAAACUCUACUAAACUUAACCAAUAGAGGAUGAGAAAAUCAAAGAAUAGGGACCGACUAAUAGAAUUACCUACAAUAAAAUAAUCACCAACAAAACCACAUAAAUCAAAAAUUAAACUGAGAUAAAGCUUAACAUGCAAAGGCAUGGACUAAUCAAGACGAACAUAUUAGUCGCAAAAAGAAGAAAAACAAUUGAUUUAAGAUGAACACCUAGGCUUAAAGUACUUGAACACUUACCAAAACUUAAAUUCAAAUAUAAAAACAAGAACAGAAAACCAGAAGAGAAAACUUACUAACCAACUCUCAAAUUCAAAAUUCGCCCGAUUCUAGUAGGAUUUGAACUCCAAUAAUGCAGAAAUCCUUAUGGGGGAAAGGGAGGGGAUCACAGGGUAUUAAUUUGAAGUGGUUUGGGGAAAUUAGAGUUUUUACUGGAAAACAUUCAAACCAAUAUUUGAACGGUUCAGCCCAUAUUCGAGGGACGGGGUUAAAGGGUUUGAUAGAUGAGGUUGAGGUGAUUCUAUGGUAUUAAUUUGGUAUCAUUUGGAUGAGGUGACGUCAUUGCCGGAAAAUCUUCAAAUGAAGAUUCGACGGAUUCAAGUAAGAUUCAAAGGAAAAGGACAGUGGAUUCGGAUAGAGGAGGAGAUGGGAGUUCAUGGUGUUAUUUUGUAGCGAAACGGAGACGAGGCUGCCAUCGGCGAUGAUUUCCGGCCGGCGGCGUUACAGGGUUCAAUUUAGUGUAUGAUGAAGGAGAUGAGAUAGGGGGAGGGGAAGUGGGGCUUUCCGACCGUUUCAUAUUAGUGAAGGAUCAGCUCCUGGCUGUUUAUCUAGAUAUCCUAGAUGGCCCGGAUUAGCCCUUAUGGAGCGUCUUUGGGUAAUAGGGUCGGACCAGGUAAGGGUUAAUUGGGCCUGGGCGUAGGGUUCUUUGUUUGGGCCUAGGCAAUUCUGGCCCAAUGUUUGUACCUUAUCACGAACAUACUUUUGAAUUAUUUUUUCAUUUAUUUCUUUUAUUUCCUUUUUAUUUUGAUUUUUUCUAUUUUUCCGACUUUAUAAAAAUACAAAAAUUUAAAAAAAGUCCUAAUAUAUUUCCAAGUUAAGCUAAUUCAUUCCUAAAAUUAUUUAAAUCAUAUUUAAAAUAAACUCAUGACAAAUUCAACAAUUAACAAUAAAAAAAUGUAAAAAUGGACUAUUUUUUGUUAUUUUCUUUGUAUUUUGUUCUAAAUAACUUAACCGCUAAUUUAUCCUAAAAUAUAAAAUUAAAUCCUAAAUGCAAAUGCCAAGUUUACUUUUUUUAUAUUUUCAUAUGAAUUAAAAUGCACGAAUAAAAUGUAAACAAUUAACAGAAAAUAACACAAAAUUCACAAACUGGCCAAAUAAUGAAAGAAAAUUAUUUUGUUUGAAUUUUUGGGAAUAAUUCACAUAGGAAAAAAAUCACGUGCUCACAGCUGCCCUCUUUGCCAUGAAAUAUGAAGAGUUUUUGUAAAGAUAAGUGAGCGGAAACGAGCAAUUUUUACCUGUUUGAAUAUUCUGCUGUGAAGCAUUUUUGAAAGAGUUUCUCGCACCCUGCUUCAGAGGUUGCCUACAUAUCCUUGGCUAAAAAGGAAUCUGGUCGGUGUAGUUCGAGAAUGUCUGGUAGUUGGGACUACCAAGAGCUGUGAUUUCACUGUAAUUGCUGCUGCUACUGCUUACUGACCUCCCUUAUUACACCGUGUCAAAAUAAAAGAAGGUGAACUAAACUAUGACCUAUGAAUUACAAAAAACAAGAUCCUAUCUAUUGUCUUCAAACUUAUGCUUGUACUUCUUGUUGCCUUGCUGUCUUGUGUUCUCUUGGUGAAAUCCAUUGUUGCCACUUCAAAUUGCAAACUGAGAUAUUGUUCCUUCUAUUCAAAUUGCUAAACUUGAAUGUAUUCCCUUGUUGUACGGGUGGGCUCCAGACUUCUGAAUUUGAACUUGAAUGUACUCCCUUGUUAUAUGGGUGUGGUUCCGACUUCUGAAUUUGAACUUAAAUGUAUUCCCUUAUUAUACGGGUGGGCUCGCGACUUCUGAAUUUCAAUUUGAAUGUAUUCCUUCGUUAUGCGGGUGGGCUCCUGACUUCUAAAUUUGAACUUGAGUGUAUUACCUUGUUAUAUGGGUGGGCUCCCGACUUCUGAAUUUGAACUUGAAUGUAUUCCCUUGUUAUGCGGAUGGGCUCCCGACUUCUGAAUUUGAACUUGAAUGUAUUCCCUUGUUAUGCGGGCGGGCUCCCGACUUCUGAAUUUGAACUUGAAUGUAUUCCUUUGUUAUACUGGUGGGUUCCUGACUUCAAAGCUUGAAAUGUAUUCUCCUAUUCCCCAGGCGGCUCCUGACUUCACAAAAUACAAACAAAGAAGACUUCCUGCCCUAGUUUGGAAACAGGGUACAUGUCACCAGACAUUAACAAGAAUUAGAAACUAAAACUCGAAUUGUAAUACCUAUGUUUUUCAGGCAGACUCCUAAUUUCAAAACUUGAAAAUGUAUUCCUCUGUUAUCCAUGCGGGCUCCUGAUUUCAACAAAAUUUACGACAACAAGGAAACUUUUCUGCCCCGAUUUGGUAGCUGGGCACACGGAUGAACGUUACCGAAUUAUGUACCAACUAUUAUUAAGAAUUUGAAAGCUAAAUCCUAUUAUUCAGAGAGGAACUACGAACCUAAGUUAUAUCUUCGAAAGUAUUACUCUCACUACAUCAUGUCAUCUACAAGGAUGUUAAACUACAUCCUAUUAUCCAGGAAGGUCCUGACCGCUCAUACUUGAAUUUUAUCCUAAACAUGCAACCUUUCAUUCCUGUAUGUUAUUCAUGAAUGUCUUGUAUUUUAGUCAUACCACAUUUUGGGGUCAAACCUUAUUACUAUUUGUUUUUCCCUCAUGGAAAAUUCCCCCGAAACAAUCGAAUUUUCCUGCUCCUGUUUUAAUCAAAAAAAAUUUCGUUAGUUUAAAAUGGUGGUUAGUUGAUGGCAUUCUUGCUGAAAAUCCUUCCGCCGCAUCGCUCUGUUUUGACCGGCUUCCUCGAACUAGCUCUAAAUUGCUUGACUUUUCGAAUGACUUUCAAACUCUGACUUUUGACCACCCGAAUGUUCUGUACCCAUACUGUUGUUUCACGCCUCUGACCCCCUUUCUGAAGUUUUACAUUUCCCACAAUAUUUCCCAAUCAUUCCACCGAUGAAACUUCCGGUUAUUCCCCAUACUCCAAUUUACCUCAUGUUAUUGCUGACAUGCUCUGACCACAUUGUACUUUACCAUUUUCGGAAGCUGGUAGCGAGCUUUGAAAUCCUUUCUACUUUGCAUUGAACAAAAUUGACAUUGAACAUCUUAGACAGAUUAAACCCCCAAAAGAAAAUGAAAUGCAAUGAUUUUAUGAGUUAAGGAUAAGAAGAAUCCAAACUGGAUGAUUGCUAAAAGAGAAGGAAAAUAAACUUAUCUGAUCGAAAUAGCUGGCAUCAAUGGUCAUGACAUGCACUCCGCACUAAUCGGCCCAAUCUGUCUAACUAAACAACUCUUGGUCGCCAUACUUUGUUGCCCCUGAAUUUCCAUCACUUGAUUACUUUACCAAAACCUUAGCCUUGUUCAUCCUGCGGUGCCUCGAAACAGUUUUCCACCAGCAUACCUCUCUUAUUUGUUCAUUUUUAACUCAUUUUCGCCUUAAGGUGCCCGCAAGGAUUUUCACCAAUAAGACUCUCACAUUUUUAUUUCUCUCGGCUUCGUCACCUUACGGUGCCCGCGAGGGCUUUCACCAAUAAGACUCUCUCAUUUUAAUUUUUCCUACUUGGACCAGAGUGUUGCCCCAGACAUGAAUUUCCUAUACAUGCUUGACUUGGCAUUUCUCAAAGACUGAUCAAAAGGUCUUUCUUUGGACCGUAAUGUGGGCUUUUGGAUGGUGUUUGAAAGAAAGGGUAUAAAAUGCUAAAAAACAACUACAAAUUGGCUAAAGUUACAACUUUCAGAAUCAUAUCUUUCCAAAACAAUCACAACUUCUACCCCAGUUUCUUGCUAGGGACUUUUGAAUUUUAUAUUGGUAUGACUGAACCUCAAAGUAAAGCUGCCUACGUACCCUUUCGGGAUCAAGUCACACGUAGUUCAUGUAAUAGUAAUUACUUUGUUGUGAUCUUCUUUCUUCUUUUCUUUUAUUUUCUGUUCUUCUUUUAUUUCUUUUCAUUUUUCAUUUUUUUUCCUUUUCCUUUUCUCUUUCUUUUUUCUUUCUUUCAUUUUCUUCUUUUUCCUUUCCUUUUCUUCCUUCUUUUCUUUCCAUUUGCUUAUCUCCGGCACUAGUGUUUCUUAAUCGUGUCGUUGAUUCCGAAAGAGGGAUACGAAAGAAAAUAUGUAAGGCUCAAAGGGGAUGACAAGGGAUAAAUGUGUUGGGAUAUCAGAAUAAAAUGCCUUCAUCAUUUUAAUCUUCAAAAUAUGCCAAAUACAAACAAGCACAAUCAAAAUAAAGAAAUCAUACAUAGUAUCUCUUGACCGCAUCGGAAUAGAUGGCCAUUUCUACACAUUUUUCUUCCACAUCUGUUAGAUAUAAUACACCAUUAUAUAAUACUCUGUUUACAAUGAAUGACCCCGCCAGUUUGGGGCGAAAUUUCCUUUUGCUUUAGCCCAAUGAGGCAAAAUACGUCUCACCACUAAUUGUCCGACUUCAAACUUCCUCGGAUGCACUUUCUUGUUGUAUGAUCUUGCCAUUGUUUGCUGGUACAGUUGUCCAUGAAACACUGAUGCCAACUUUUUCUCAUCUAUCAAACUCAAAUGUUCUAGGUGGGUUUUCAUCCAUUCUUCAUCAUCGAUCUCAUCAUCCACGAUAAUUCGAAGGGACGGGAUUUCCACUUCCGCGGGUAUCACUACCUCGGUGCCAUACACCAAUGAAUAAGGAGUCGCCCCUACUGAAGUACGAACAGUGGUGUGGUACCCCAACAAUGCAAAAGGAAGCUUUUCAUGCCACUGUCUUGAACCUUGUACCAUAUUCCGCAGUAUUUUCUUUAUAUUUUUGUUGGCUGCCUCAACCGCACCAUUGGCCUUAGGGUGGUAUGGCGUAGAAUGACGAUGGGUAAUCUUGAACUGCUCACACGUUUCCUUCAUCAAAUGAAUAUUGAGAUUCGCUCCAUCAUUUGUAAUGAUCACAUUUGGUAUCCCAAACCGACAGAUAAUGUUCGAAUGCACAAAAUCCACCACAACUUUAUUGGUCACAGAUUUGAACAUUUAGCCUCUACCCACUUGGUAAAAUAGUCUAUAGCUACAAAAAUGAACCUGUGCCCAUUUGACGCUGCUGGCUCAAUUGGCCCAAUAACAUCCAUUCCCCAUGCAACAAAAGGCCAUUGUGCGAACAUCGUGUGUAAUUCCGAGGGUGGAGAAUGAAUAAAGUCUCCAUGCACCUGACACUGAUGACAUUUGCGUACAUAGCUGAUGCACUCUCGCUCCAUAGUGAGCCAAUAAUAUCCCGCUCGGAGAAUCUUCUUUGGUAAAACAUACCAGCUCAUAUGUGGUCCAAUAACUCCGGCAUGUACCUCAGUCAUGAUAGAUGUGGCCUGUUUAGCAUCAAUGCAUCUUAACAACCUGAGGUCUGGAGUUCUUUUGUACAACACUCCUCCACAAAGGAAAAACCUGCUUGCCAGCUGUCGAAUUGUUCGUUUCUGAUCACCUGUGGCCUGUACCAGAUACACACCCAUCCUGAUAUAUUCCUUGAUAUCAUGAAACCACAGCUCGCCAUCUAGUUCCUCUUUUACCACAUUACAGUAAGCAUGCUGAUCACGAACCUGGAUUUGAAAAGGGUCCAUAUAAGUCUUAUCUGGAUGAUGUAACAUUGAUGCCAAAGUAGCCAACGCAUCGAAAACUUCAUUAUGAAUCCUUGGAAUGUGCUUGAACUCUAUUGACUAAAACCGUUGACAAAACUCAUGCAAACAUUGUUGGUACGGUAUAAGCUUUAAGUCCCGUGUUUCCCAUUCUCCUUGAAUUUGGUGUACCAGUAGGUCCGAGUCACCCAUGACCAAGACUUACUAGACACCCAUAUCUACAGCUAACCUCAGCCCCAAGAUACAUGCAUCAUAUGCUGCCAUGUUGUUCGUACAAUAGAAAUGAAGCUGAGCCGUAACAGGAUACUGUUGCCCUAUUUCCGAAAUAAGUACCACUCUUAUUCCCACGCCUUUCCUAUUUGCAUCCCUAUCAAAGUAAAGUUUCCAUCCUGGAUUCUCAACUUGUUCCAACUCCAAUAUGCAUCACUCUUCAUCAGGGAAAUACAUUUUCAAAGGUUCAUAAUCUUCAUCAACUGGAUUCUCGACCAAAUGAUCCGUCAAGUCUUAUGGUCUACAGCUGAUCUCAACCCUAAGAUACAUGCCUCAUAUUCUACCAUGUUAUUCGUACAAUUGAAACGAAGCGGAGCUGUAACAGGGUAGUGUUGCCCUGUUUCAGAAAUAAGUACCGCUCCUAUUCCCACGCCUUUAAUGUUUGCAGCCCCAUCAAAGCAAAGUUUUCAUACCGACUUAUCAACUUGUUCCAACUCAUCAAUCUACAUCACCUCUUCAUCAGGGAAGUAAGUCUUCAAUAGUUCAUAAUCUUCAUCAACUGGAUUCUCAGCCAAGUGAUAAGCUAAUGCCUGUGAUUUCAUCGCAGUCUGUGUCACAUAAAUAAUAUCGAACUCCGUAAGCAAGAUCUGC
This 7837-nucleotide long non-coding RNA is filed under the name Nicotiana benthamiana. RNAcentral describes it as "long non-coding RNA (NBEN_LNC039155)". Lineage: Eukaryota; Viridiplantae; Streptophyta; Magnoliopsida; Solanales; Solanaceae. The record is from RNAcentral.